UUUCCGUAGGUGAACCUGCGGAAGGAUCAUUAUGGAGAAUAUGCCCUUCGGGGUAGAUCUCCCACCCUUUGUUUAUAUUACCUUUGUUGCUUUGGCAGGCCCGUCUUCGGACCACCGGCUUCGGCUGGUCAGUGCUUGCCAGAGGACCCAAAACUCUUAUUAUUAAUGUCGUCUGAGUACUAUAUAAUAGUUAAAACUUUCAACAACGGAUCUCUUGGUUCUG
This 223-nucleotide unclassified non-coding RNA is filed under the name plant metagenome. Its description in RNAcentral is "partial contains small subunit ribosomal RNA, internal transcribed spacer 1, and 5.8S ribosomal RNA". The record is from RNAcentral.